RNAcentral lists this long non-coding RNA (265 nucleotides) under Homo sapiens (human). RNAcentral's name for it is "LHRI_LNC829.1". Lineage: Eukaryota; Metazoa; Chordata; Mammalia; Primates; Hominidae. The record is from RNAcentral.
AAUUCAAUUUACUCUUUCCACUGUUCUCCCUCUACUGGAAUACUGAUAUUCAUGACAAGCUGUAAGGUACUUCACUAGAGGGAGCAUAGUUAAGGAAAGGCAUGCCCCUUGUGCAGAAUACAGCCCUGGCUCUCUCUGGAGAAGAACGAGGAAAGGGGAAAGAUGUAGUCAGAGGAGUGAGAGAGGAUUUGAACAAAGGCUCAGCCAAUUUUAGGAAGAUAAAAAGAAACCAAAGCCAACACAUUCCUAAUUUAGUGGAUCUGAG